UUGUUCGGAAUCACUGGGCGUAAAGCGUGCGUAGGCUGUUUCGUAAGUCGUGUGUGAAAGGCAGGGGCUCAACCCCUGGAUUGCACAUGAUACUGCGAGACUAGAGUAAUGGAGGGGGAACCGGAAUUCUCGGUGUAGCAGUGAAAUGCGUAGAUAUCGAGAGGAACACUCGUGGCGAAGGCGGGUUCCUGGACAUUAACUGACGCUGAGGCACGAAGGCCAGGGGAGCGAAAGGGAUUAGAUACCCCUGUAGUCCUGGCAGUAAACGGUGCACGCUUGGUGUGCGGGGAAUCGACCCCCUGCGUGCCGGAGCUAACGCGUUAAGCGUGCCGCCUGGGGAGUACGGUCGCAAGAUUAAAACUCAAAGAAAUUGACGGGGACCCGCACAAGCGGUGGAGUAUGUGGCUUAA
RNAcentral lists this ribosomal RNA (410 nucleotides) under uncultured bacterium. Its description in RNAcentral is "bacterial SSU rRNA". It matches the Rfam family "Bacterial small subunit ribosomal RNA", at positions 541 to 949 of the family's 1533-position model. The record is from RNAcentral.